Meleagris gallopavo (turkey) is the source of this 4044-nucleotide non-coding RNA. The record is from RefSeq and is a predicted model, not a curated record. NCBI's taxonomy places the organism in Eukaryota, Metazoa, Chordata, Aves, Galliformes, Phasianidae.
CUGAAGUAAUAGCUGGAAAAUCUAUGAUUUUAGAUGUGCUUACUGAGCUCUAGAAAGGUUUCUUAGAAGAUCUUGAAUAUUUAUAUCUGAGGAUUCAAAAUCUGAGCCUCUUUCCUGGCCUGCAAACAGCUUUGCUUUCGAGAUGACUCUUUGUGGUUUAUUGUGGUGAGUUCAUCAAAUAACUUUCCCCUCUUCUGAGUUUAGUUUCCAUCUGAGGGAUAGUUUAUCCCCUAGAUGCUAACAAGACCAAUUACACUGUUUAGAGUCUUCCAGCCUCAUUUGGAUGAUCCCUUCAGUAAAUUCCCUCCUCAUGUGCGAUGACUCCUCAAUAAAUUCUCCAGGCUGUGUUUUCACCACAUUCCUUCAAAGUCUCAUCACUGGUUGAGUACCUCUUGAUGUAUUAUUGUAUAAAAGUGUUGUGUUGGUGACAACAUGCAUCCUUGUUUGCCUGGCAAAUGCUGAUCUGUUUGUUCGUGCUACACCACUGAGAGUGGUUUGCCUAAGGUGAUUGCUCGUGCCUUUGUGCAGUCAUCAUUCUGGUACCACAAACAGCCUACUCUUACCAGUCUGAGGGCAAAAUGUUCUAUUUGACUUUAAAGCAAGAUGUUUUGCCCAGGCAGCAGGUGAAAUUAAUCUCCUGAUCAUUCCAGUGCAACUGCUGGCUGGCUAUCAAGGCUCAAGCAUUGGCUCGUGUAUUUUGGGAGUCCUGCGGUCUGAAAAAAGGUGUAACCUACAAAUGCCAUUUUAGCCAUACAUUCAUGGCACUCAUUAACGAGGCAGAGGACAGAACAUGGUUGCAGACCUUGGGUUUUAUACCUCUGCAGUCCUAGACUUCUUCCUCUUUUGAGCAGAGACACUGACAGUCAUCCUAAACUAUAAAGCAUAGUCAUGUUAAUAAAAUAGUAAUAAUAAUAAUGCAUAGCUAAGCAGCAACAAAUAAGCUGGAGUGAGGUUACUGUGCUUUGCUUUCCCUUUCCUUUAACGGAUGCCAACGCUGGCCCUCAAGUUUCAGCAGUUUUUCACCCUUUGAAAAAUCCAGGCUCACCCUCCCUUUUCCUCCCCACCCCCAUAAUUCCCCUUGGGUAUUGUCCUAUUGAUGUGACUUUAACCAGUUACAUAAAGGUCAGUGUGCACUACUGCUCUUAUGCAUGUAAAGCAAUGAGAAUAACAGCAGUCACAAUUCACUGUAGAAUCCAUCCCAAGUUUCGACUUUUUUUUCAUAAAUAAUUUCAGUUCUAGUAAGUUUUGUUGUUUACAUAUUUUGGGGGAUAGUGGUGUCAGUUUGAUGGUUUAGCUAGUCAAAUAACAUCAUAUUAUUUCCCUCUUAGUCUCAUCUUUAUCAUACUCAUAUGAAUUAAAAAUGGGAACUUUUAAAGCACUUUAACUCCAAAGACAUGAGAGUCUCAGGCCUACUGUGACUCCUGAAUUUCCUACUUAAUAAAUACAUGAACGAGAUAUGGUUUUGUAUUUCCUGAAUGAGAGCAGCACCUCUUUAGUUUUUUAUUUUGGGACAGAAUAUAUUAAGCUUAAAUUCUGAAUGAACUUGACACCAGCUUAAUGUAGUAACGUGCAGAAAGUUUAUUGAAAAAUCUUUUAUUUUUCCCUGUUCAACCUGAACAUAUUGUACUACUGUGCUACAUAAGCUAUGUGGCUUAUUUUGGGGGAGUUUAGACUUUUAGGUAAGUGAUAACACAAAGUAUUGGAAACUUCUACUGCAUUUUAAGAGUAGUCACUCUUACAAGUUUUUCACUUAAUUCUUUUUUCCUACAGCAGUCUUUCGUAGCCAUUCUAUACUGUUCAGAGGAACAGACUUGGUUCAGCUGUGAAGUAUCACUACUGUAAGUGGAUUCAUGCACUUUCCCUGGAAUGGAAUAAGAUCUUCUGAAAAUGUUCCAUCUGGAAGGAAGCAGGAAAGACUCGUUUUGUAUAGCACUUGACUUGGACCACAUUGAAGGGAAAGGCUCAGGAGCAGCAGCAGAUGCAGGAACAUUAAUAAAUUGCUAAUCUGUCCUCAUUAACAAAGAAGUCCUUCCAGAGUGGAUAUUAAGACAAAGAGCUUUUGGCAUUUGCGCAGACUUCAGUGAACAUCUGUUUUUCUGAUGUCAGAAGAUUCAUUGUGUGAUAAUGGAAGCGAAGCCUCAAAGGAAAAUCCUUUUGCUGAUAAAAUGAAGAUUCCCCUGCAUCCAAACAUGCCAAAAUCCCAAGACUUUUAUCCUGUAAAAAAUGAAUUAAGAAAACAUCUUCCCUUGAAAACGUGACAGUUUUCUGUGCUCCCAUCUAGAAAGGAGGUUACAAACACUUAAUGCAAAGGCUGUGGGCCUGAUUCAUCAUCUGCUGAAGUCAAGGGCAAAUGUGUGAUUUUGUUCAUUAUAGUACCUUUCAUCUGUUCAGCUCAAUCACAUCAGAACAUUCAAAAGCUCUGUAGCUGUGUCUUUUCCUUUUGAGAAUAAAAAGCUAUUAUGAGAAAACUUGUUAUGUUGAAAAACUGGUACUAAUGGAAUUAAAUGUCCAGGUUAACCUUAGUAGAAAUGUUUUCAUUGAGAUAACUCAAUUUAAUACGACAUAAUAGAAUUUUCUAGUAUAUGUUAAAAUCCAAAUGAAGAUGUGUAAAAGUAAAGAAUGAAAUCCCUUUGAGAAAUCUGCUUAAAGCUGAUUGAUUGAAAUUGCCAUAACCUUAUAACCCCUUAUUCCUGUGAUGAGAUAAUGAUACAAUACUGAAGCAGGUGACUUAGUGAUGUAUGCUGCACUCAGAUCCUUCCUACCUGGUGACAUUUAUUGAAAGCUGACUGCUGAACUUUGUUCUAUGCCUCGUGCUAUCUAUCUGCCUUGGAGAUGCUGGAUGCUAUAAUUACAUUUUGCUUCAUUUCCUGUAUAAUUUAUGUGAAAACUCCUCCAUGGUAGGAAAGUACAAAGUCCAGAUAACGACAACAUGACAACGUAUAUGAUUUGAUGGUUGUUGAGAUUGCAGCUAGAGCUGCCCGUGACUCAACUACUUCCAAGGUCAACCAACACAAGUGAGCUCAAGCAGCACGGCACUUUGGAGGCUGUAUAAAACAAAAAUGUUUUGCUAUGUUUAAUCAACAUCAAUCUUAACGUCAUUAUUCCUAUAAACUGAGGUGUGUCUUACGGGUCGAGAAAGGAGAAAUGGUGAAUCUGAUUGGGUUACGGUGACAUUUAGCCUGUAGCAUGCUGCCUUUGUGUAAAGAUACUAAGAAUGGUUUUGUGCCAGGGCAUAAUGUUCUGAAGUCUCCAAAGCUUUGGUAUUUGUUUUAUUAUGCUUGCCAAGUUUCUUUUUUGGCAGUGAUACUAGAUGGGUUUUUUUAAGUAAUAUAUUUCUUAAUGCCAGAUGCGAUUUUUUUUUUCCUUAGAAAACUUUUCUAAAUAAAUCAUUAUGCUACCAUUUCCUCUCAUCACCAGCCUGGUCUAAAUUACAUCUAGAGAUAAUCAGCUAGAUUUGUUUCCCAGGCAAAGGAUAUUUUGUCUUCAUUGUGCACUGUUGAGAUGGUUUGUGGACCUGAUUUAGGUAGAAUUUCUGAAUCCUGGCUUAAUGUCACAAACUCUGUAUAUGCUGGCUGCCUUUCCUUGUAUUUUUACCAUAUGCUUUAUUUGCUGAGAAACAGAAAUGGGCCACAAGGCCAUUACAAAUGAGCAUGUUGGCCACUGAAAGCUGCGAGUGAUUUGCUUGUUUUGCUUAUUAUUCCUUUGACAUAAAUCCACCAUACUGUGGGGAGGGAUGAGCGCUCCCAACUCUGUUCAUCCUCCUGGUUCGUUCUCACCACCUCUCCUGCACUCACAGUAAGAAUUGUGUUGCUGAAUGGUGGCUGAAUCAAAGAACUGAUCUGCUGAAAGCUACUCUGAGAGGUGGGAACUGAGAGGGGAUUCUCAGAAAAAUUAUGAAGAGGUGCUGAAUUUUUCCUUGGACAGAAGAUGAUUAUCAUUUGCUGGUACAUACAGAGUAUCUAAAAUGACCUUCUAAGUGAUUUGUCAAUAGAAUUAAUAACAUUCCUUAUGCAAUAAGUUUAAAUUACAUGGAUUUCAUCUUUC